Molecule: unclassified non-coding RNA, 213 nt
Filed under: plant metagenome
Description: partial contains small subunit ribosomal RNA, internal transcribed spacer 1, and 5.8S ribosomal RNA
Source: RNAcentral
UUUCCGUAGGUGAACCUGCGGAAGGAUCAUUCAUAAUAAAGUGUUUUAUGGCACUUUUUAAAAAUCCAUAUCCACCUUGUGUGCAAUGUUAGAUCUCGUCAAUCUCUUGGCGAGAUUUUUAUACAUCAACUCAUUCUUUAACUAAUUUGUCUGAAAAAUAUUAUGAAUACUUAGUUCAAAAUACAACUUUCAACAACGGAUCUCUUGGUUCUC